RNAcentral lists this ribosomal RNA (233 nucleotides) under uncultured bacterium. RNAcentral's name for it is "partial 16S ribosomal RNA". It matches the Rfam family "Bacterial small subunit ribosomal RNA", at positions 118 to 348 of the family's 1533-position model. The record is from RNAcentral.
UGAGGAACAUGACCUUCGGCGGGGGAGUAGCCGGCCCAACGGCCGGGUAAUACCGCGUACGACCACAUGGGGACAUCCCUGAGUGGUGAAAGCAGCAAUGCGCCGAUGAGUGCCUCACGGCCUAUCAGCUAGUUGGUGAGGUAACGGCUCACCAAGGCGACGACGGGUAGCUGGUCUGAGAGGAUGGCCAGCCACAUUGGGACUGAGACACGGCCCAGACCUCUACGGGGAGG